This 497-nucleotide ribosomal RNA is filed under the name uncultured bacterium. RNAcentral describes it as "partial 16S ribosomal RNA". It matches the Rfam family "Bacterial small subunit ribosomal RNA", at positions 28 to 507 of the family's 1533-position model. The record is from RNAcentral.
GAUGAACGCUGGCGGCGUGCCUAUUACAUGCAAGUCGAGCGAACAGAUGAGGAGCUUGCUCCUCUGACGUUAGCGGCGGACGGGUGAGUAACACGUGGAUAACCUACCUAUAAGACUGGGAUAACUUCGGGAAACCGGAGCUAAUACCGGAUAAUAUAUUGAACCGCAUGGUUCAAUAGUGAAAGACGGUUUUGCUGUCACUUAUAGAUGGAUCCGCGCCGCAUUAGCUAGUUGGUAAGGUAACGGCUUACCAAGGCAACGAUGCGUAGCCGACCUGAGAGGGUGAUCGGCCACACUGGAACUGAGACACGGUCCAGACUCCUACGGGAGGCAGCAGUAGGGAAUCUUCCGCAAUGGGCGAAAGCCUGACGGAGCAACGCCGCGUGAGUGAUGAAGGUCUUCGGAUCGUAAAACUCUGUUAUUAGGGAAGAACAAAUGUGUAAGUAACUAUGCACGUCUUGACGGUACCUAAUCAGAAAGCCACGGCUAACUACGUG